RNAcentral lists this ribosomal RNA (505 nucleotides) under uncultured bacterium. Its description in RNAcentral is "bacterial SSU rRNA". It matches the Rfam family "Bacterial small subunit ribosomal RNA", at positions 26 to 518 of the family's 1533-position model. The record is from RNAcentral.
GCUAGGAUGAACGCUAGCGACAGGCUAACACAUGCAAGUCGAGGGGUAACAGGGUAGCAAUACCGCUGACGACCGGCGCACGGGUGAGUAACGCGUAUGCAACCUGCCUAUAACUGGGGAAUAGCUCCCUGAAAAGGGGAAUUAACACCGCAUAACACUAUUGAUUCGCAUGGAUUGGUAGUUAAAUGUAGCGAUACAGGUUAUAGAUGGGCAUGCGUGACAUUAGCUAGUUGGUGAGGUAACGGCUCACCAAGGCUACGAUGUCUAGGGGUUCUGAGAGGAAGGUCCCCCCACACUGGUACUGAGACACGGACCAGACUCCUACGGGAGGCAGCAGUGAGGAAUAUUGGUCAAUGGGCGCAAGCCUGAACCAGCCAUGUCGCGUGCAGGAAGAACCUGCCCUAUGGGUUGUAAACUGCUUUUAUAGUAGAAGAAACACAUCUACGCGUAGAUGUCUGCCAGUAUACUAUGAAUAAGCAUCGGCUAACUCCGUGCCAGCCGCCGC